CACAUAUCAGAUAUUAAACUGAUAAGAACAGAUACUACACUUGAUCUUAGCCAAAAGGCCGAGAAAGGUAUGAGUUGAAACAAAGCCUUGCCCCUCAUCUUAUACCCGCCCGAACAGCUAUGCUAAUCUGCACAAGCGAUGUGGGACUAA
RNAcentral lists this ribosomal RNA (150 nucleotides) under Triticum aestivum (bread wheat). RNAcentral describes it as "partial small subunit ribosomal RNA". The record is from RNAcentral. Lineage: Eukaryota; Viridiplantae; Streptophyta; Magnoliopsida; Poales; Poaceae.